CCUCCUUAUGGGCUCCAGGGCAGCCUGCCUCAGGGCAGAGAGGAGAGGCCGGAGCCUGUGAGUUUCCACAGCGACGCGUUCCCCGCGAUGGGGGCGGGGUCGCCAAACAUAUUUUUUAAAAACAAAAGUGGAGGCCCUUUGGUAAAUAGAUACCAGCUUAUAGGCACCUUACAGUGAAAGCAAAUCUGUGGUAUCUCUGUUUCCCUUGAGAAACAAGAAAAUUCCUUGCCAAAAAUCUUAUCCUUUACCUCCUGGGCACCAGCAUCCUUCAAUCCAUCUAUCUGCUUGGGCUCUGUGACUAAGCCUUUGCUGGUGGAAUAUCUGUGAAUGCCACGGCCCCGUCUUCCUACAUGCGGGUCUGUCUCUCUUCUGCUCUGCUACCUUGAGAUAGGCAGGUCGAUCUUGACAGCCAUACAAGAAACAUGGCACAGCCAUGGGAUAGAAGGCUGGGUCCCCGAGUCAUUCUUUGGCGUGAGCGGCACACCAUCCCAUUUUGACAUUAUGGUAAGCUGCUGAGACAUGUGGAUACACUAGUUAGAAUAGCAAGUUUUACUCUAUCACUCCCAGACUUUUAAAUUGAAGAUUUCUACUUCACUUUAGCAAUCAAGUAGCAGGAAAUAAGCUGGAGCUUUGUCACGCAAAAAUUCCAAGUCAGAACUCUAGCUCCCACGCACCUAACACUCGCUGACUCUAUUCUCCCUCUUUCCAUAAGGAUGUAAACUAACCUUAUUGUGGUGAUCAUUUUGCAAGAGACUUGAUGCAGAAUCGUUGUUACACACCUGAAACUAAUAUAAUGUUGUGAUGUCAAUUAUAUUUCAAUUUUUUUAAAAACUGUUCCUGUUUCUUAUAUACUAUGCCCCUUUUUAUUUAGAAUUUAUUUUUUCAUCUAAGCAAAAACUCACAGUUUUGGUAUCAAAUUAUAUCAAUUAGCCUUUGAAAAUACCCUACCGGAUCUCAUAGGGGAAGCAAGUGGGGAGCGUUAUUGGUUGACUACUCAGCCCAGUCACACCAGGUGGGUGAUUGGCUAGGUAACCUGUCUAGGUUAAAGUCAAGAGCAAGGAAGAGGACGUCUGAGAGCUUAUGGCUUCAAAAUGCACUCAGGUGUCAAACUUUAGUCCCCGUGUUUCUCACAGUUCAGCAUUUUAAAAGUCAGUCAAAAAAUUUCCAGGGUUCCAAGACCUUGGGGAGAAGGCUAAAAAGAGUGGUCUGAUUCCCUGUCACUACCAGCAGGUUGAAUUGUCAAGGGUAUAUUUUCCUCAGCAGGGAUGGCGAUGCUUAAAGACACACUCCUGUGUGGGUGAUCUCCUGCCUGUGCUGACAUGGCUAAUGAUCUUAGCACGAUUCUGAGUCCUCGGCACAGCACCCCAGCAGCCGCUCACCAUCCAUCAUUUGGUAGAACAUGAGAAAUUGCUGCCCCUGCUCCAAAGGCUGGGAAUUUUCUCUAAAAAUCUUGCAGUUGCAGUUCAAGGCUGCUUACCCUCAGACACUGUGGGAGCCUUCUGGAGCUGGCAAAUGAUUUAAGUGCCUUGAAACAGGAGUAAAGAAUCAGAAAGAGGAGCUCUUGAAGAGAUGAAAAGGAAAGCUUUAAAAUCACAAAGGGUGCCAUUAACUUUAUCUGAUAUAAACAGAAGUGAGUAACUUUUUGCCUAUAAUGAACGUAUUAAUGAGAUUAAUCAAAAUGUUUCAGAAAUAAAGUAUUAUUCUGUAGGGUUUUUUUUUCUUCU
RNAcentral lists this long non-coding RNA (1724 nucleotides) under Sus scrofa (pig). Its description in RNAcentral is "lncRNA (ENSSSCG00025026615.1)". The record is from RNAcentral. Lineage: Eukaryota; Metazoa; Chordata; Mammalia; Artiodactyla; Suidae.